CCUGAUUGAUCUUGCUAGUAGUUAUAUACUUGUCUCAAAGAUUAAGCCAUGCAUGUGUAAGUAUAAAUAAAUUCAAGCUGUGAAAUUGUGAAUGGCUCAUUAAGUCAAUUAUAGUUUAUUUGAUGGUAUCUAUUACUCAAAUAAGCAUAGUAAUUCUAGAGCAAAUACUACAACAAACCUCAACUUCUGGAAGGGAUGCAUUUAGCAUAAAACAUCGAUGCUGGCUUUGCUCGUUGCAUUAAUGAUUCAUGACAACUCGGUGGAUUGCAUGACCUUUUUGUCGACUAUGCAUCAUUCAAAAUUUUGCCUUAUCAACUUUCGAUGGUAGGAUAGUGGCCUACUAUGAUGGUGACAAGUGAUAGAGAAUUAGGAUUCAAUUCUAAAAAGGGAGCUUGAAAAAUGGCUACCAUAUCCAAGGAAGGCAGUGGGCAUACAAAUUACCCAAUCCUAACAUAAAGAGGUAGUGAUGAUAAAUAACAAUACCAAGCUCUAUGAGUCUGAUAAUUGGAAUGAGUAUAAUCUAAAUCCCUUAAUGAGGAUCCAUUAGAGGGUAAGUUUAAUGCCAGCAACUAUCGUAAUUCCAGCUCUAAUAAUGUAUAUUUAAGUUGUUGCAGUUAAAAAGCUCAUGGUUGGAACUAGGAUUAGGUCAUUUGGUUUGCUUCACGAUGAGCACCGGUCUACUCAUCCCUACCAUCGAUGAUGCACUCCUAGCUUUAAUUAGCUAGGUUAUUCCUCUAACACUAUUACUUUGAAGAAAUUAGAGUGCCCAAAGUAGGCCUAUGCUUGUAUACAUUAGCAUGGGAUAACAUCAUAGGAUUUCAAUCCUAUUGUGUUGGCCAUUAGGAUCAGAGUAAUGAUUAAUAGGGAUAGUCGAGGGCAUUCAUAUUUCAUAGUCAGGGUUGAAAUUCUUGGAUUUAUGAAAGAUGAACAACUAUGAAAGCAUUCGCCAAGAAUCUUUUCAUUAAUCAAGAAUGAAAGUUGAGGGCUAAAAAAUGAUCAGAUACCAUCCUAGACUCAACCAUAAAUGAUGCUAACCAAGGAUUGAUGGAUGUUACUUUUAGGACUUUGUCAACACCUUAUAAGAAAUAAAAGUCUUUGGGUUUUGAAGGGAGUAUGGUCACAAGGCUAAAACUUAAAGGAAUUGCUGGAAGGGCACCACCAGGAGUGGAGCCUACAGCUUAAUUUUUUCAACAUGGGGAAACUUACCAAGUCUAGACUUAAUAAGGAUUGACAGACUGAGAGCUCUUUCUUGAUUCUAUGGGUGGUGCUACAUGGUUGUUCUUAGUUGGUGGAGUAAUUUGUCUAGUUAAUUCCAUUAAUGAGUAAGACUUCAACUUGCUAACUAGCAAUGUAGAGGUGAUCCUUCUUGGCUAGCUUUUUAGAGGGACUAUGGCUACUUAGGCUAAGGAAGUUUGAGGCAAUAAUAGGUCUAUGAUGCCCUUAGAUGUUAUGGGCUGCACAUGCUCUACACUGAUGUAUUCAAUGAGUCUAUAGCCUUGGCUAAUAGGCUCAGGUAAUCUUUGAAAUUUCAUCAUGAUAGGGAUAGAUUAUUGCAAAUGUUGAUCUUCAAUGAGGAAUUCCUAGUAAGUAAAGUCAUCAACUCGCAUUGACUACAUCCCUGUCCUUUAUAACACCAUCCGUCAGUCUUACCAAUUGAAUGGUUAGGUGAAGCAUUUAGAUCAUGGUGAUGCAGAUGGUUCAUUGCCCUCAUGUCAUAAGAAAUCCACUGAACCUUAUCAUUUAGAGGAAGGAGAAGUCAUAACAAGGUUUCCAUAGGUGAACCUACAAAAG
RNAcentral lists this ribosomal RNA (1791 nucleotides) under Durio zibethinus. RNAcentral describes it as "SSU rRNA". It matches the Rfam family "Eukaryotic small subunit ribosomal RNA". Lineage: Eukaryota; Viridiplantae; Streptophyta; Magnoliopsida; Malvales; Malvaceae. The record is from RNAcentral.